RNAcentral lists this ribosomal RNA (253 nucleotides) under uncultured bacterium. RNAcentral's name for it is "partial 16S ribosomal RNA". It matches the Rfam family "Bacterial small subunit ribosomal RNA", at positions 524 to 776 of the family's 1533-position model. The record is from RNAcentral.
UACAGAGGGGGCAAGCGUUGUUCGGAAUUACUGGGCGUAAAGGGCGCGUAGGCGGCGUGCUAAGUCGAACGUGAAAUCCCCGGGCUCAACCCGGGAACUGCGUCCGAGACUGGCAUGCUUGAAUCCGGGAGAGGGAUGUGGAAUUCCAGGUGUAGCGGUGAAAUGCGUAGAUAUCUGGAGGAACACCGGUGGCGAAGGCGGCAUCCUGGACCGAGAUUGACGCUGAUGCGCGAAAGCCAGGGGAGCAAACGGG